CUCACCAUCACCGCUGUUAAAGAUGCCACUGAUGACUAUGUGAGUUCUUUCAUUUUUUAUUCUGCCACCCCGAGCACACAGUCACCUUCGCCCAGCACAAUUCCUUGGUGACCUAGACAUCCUUUACCUGGUCCCACUUGGUCCAUGAUAAUGUGGCUAAGGGUGAGGAGGGGAGUCAGGAAGAGAUGGUCUAUGAAUAGGUGUGUGGAAGGUGUUGCCCAGCAUGCUCUGAGUUCCCCUGAUGGAGCCAGAGUCUCCUGUUCUUUGGAUCAGGAGAAGGUGUCUCACCUUUUUCAGUUCUCUUCUUUUCAGUUCCGCCACAAGAGUGAUAACCAGGUGAAUAACCGCCAGUCUCAGGUGCUGAUCAAUGGAAUGUGAGUGCCUUUUGGGAACAAGGGCCCUGGGGACAAAGCGGGAAAGGCCCUGGAAACCUCUGUAGCUACUGACAGCCUUUUUACUGUCUUGUUGCCGCAGCCUCCAGCAAGAGCAGUGGAUGAAUGUUUGUGUUGGUGAUAUCAUCAAGCUAGAAAACAACCAGUUUGUGGCGGUAAGGGAAAAGUGGCCGCUCUAGGCCUACAGGGCUCACCUUCCUCUUUAGCAGAAAGGGAUGAGUCCUUCCUGAUUCCGUUUGCCUUUUAAACACCCAUGGAAGGAGACUGUCUUGGGUGGAGGGCUUAAUAUGCCUGGGACCUGCUGUUAAUGUGCUUGGAACUAGGAAGGAUGCUCGGCGGGGGGGGGGGGGGGGGUGUGAGGUGGGGAGGAGGAUCCUUGCAGAGCCUGCUGCAGGUGGAGACCUGCGUAUCUGGACUUCUCAUUAGGGCUUCUUUCCAGGCGGAUCUCCUCCUCCUCUCCAGCAGUGAGCCCCAUGGGCUGUGUUACAUAGAGACGGCAGAACUCGAUGGGUAAGUGGCAUGCUCAAGGGUCAGUCCUUUUACUUCCUUUUUAGGGGUGAAAAGAUUGUUUUUGAAAGUGGGUCUCAGGCCUGGGCUUAUACCUUUUGGAAAAUUUAGGGGUAAGAAAGACUUUGGAGCCAGGUAUGGUGGCACAUGCCUGUGAUCUCAGAGACUCGGGAGGCUGAGGCAGGAGGAUGGAAUGUUUGAGACUAGCCUGGGCAACUUAGUGACACCCUGUCUCAAAAAAAAAAAAAAAAAAAAUUAGAAAGGGCUGGGGACGUAGGUCUGUGGUAGAGCACCCGUGGGUUCAAUCCCCAGUACGGGGGUGGGGUGGAGGGGAGAACGCUUUGGGAUACGUAGUAUUUGCUGUGCUGAGAAGUGGGAUGCCCGUGGUCAGGUGCUCCCAAGCAGGCUACUGGGUGGGUAGGGAGCCGGGACUCAAGGGAACUGUCCUUCUAGAGAGACCAAUAUGAAAGUGCGCCAGGCAAUUCCAGUCACCUCAGAACUGGGAGACAUCAGUAAGCUUGCCAAGUUUGAUGGUGAGUAAUCUUGGAGAAGCAGUCUUCAGGUAAAAGAGGUGGGUUGGGUUUUAGAAUUUAAAUUGUACCUUUUCCUUUUGGCUUCUGGUUGCUGUGAUUAUGCAACUCCUUGGAUUUGGGGGUGGGGGUGCUGGGAAUGCCAAGUGGUUGCAACUUGAUGAUCAUUUCAAGGAAGCCUUGAGACUGAUAGCUCCCCACUUGCUGUGCAUCUUGAGAGAAAUUCAGCUUAUACUGUUUGGGUGUUAGCUCAGAAUAAUGAUAUGUGCUCCUUAUAACAAGACAGACUGCCAGGCAUGGUGGCACGUGUCUGUAAUCCCAGCAAUUUGGGAGGCUCAGGCAGAAGGAUUACAAGUUUGAGGCCAGCCUCAGCAACUUAGUGAGACCCUUAGCAACUUAGUGACACUCUGUCAUAAAAUAAAGAAUAAAAAAGACUGCAGAUGUAGCUCAGUGGUAGGGUACAUCUGUGUUCAAUCCUAGUAACACAUACACAAAGACAACUAUACAGAGUGUAUAAGAAAGUUUAUGGUCACUCCUGCCCUUCUUAGAUGACCAUGUUAAUUAACAGUCAGUCCUGUUAGUAUAGUAAUCUACAUUUUUACAUAUGUUUGUAUACAUAAAAAUAAAAAAUGCAAUUCUUUUGUACUGAAGUUUCUACCUUUUUUGCUUAUUAAAUAUGUCAUAAGCAUCUUAUCAUCUGUAUAAAGAAUUUUACCUUUUUCUCUUUAGUAGCUGCAUGAUAUUUCAUAGAAUUGUUGUGUCACCAGAGCCAGCCUGGGCAACUUAGAGAAGACCUUAGUAUAGAGCACUUGCCUAGCUAUGUUCAAGGCCCUGGAUUCAGUCCCUAGCACCGAAAAAAAACCUGAUGUAUCAUAAUUUAUUCAUCUACUCCUGUCCAUUCAGUGGUUUCCAGUCUUUUGCUGUCCUGAUAAUGCUUCAAUAAAGGAUAUCAUGCUCUAUUUAGUAGGAUAGAGUGAGUGACCAAAUUGGAAUUACUGAGUCCAAGCUUAUAUGUACUUUUUUUUUUUUUUAACCCAGGGAAACUUAACCACUGAACCACAUCACCACCCUUUUUUUUAAUAUUUUAUUUAGAGACAGGGUCUUGCUAAGUUGCUUAGGGACUCACUAAGUUGCUGAGGCUGGGUUUGAACUUGCGAUCCUCCUAUCUCAGCCUUCAGAGCUAUUGGGAUCACAGGCAUGUGCCACUGCACCCGGCAUAUGUAUGUACUUUUAAUAUUAGUAUAUGCUGUCUCAUUCUUUUUCUGAAAAGUGACAUCAGCUCACACUCUUGCCAGCAGUAUGCAAAUGGGUCCCUGUCCUUACUCUUUCUCCUUUAGCUACUUUUUCUCUCUGUUUUAUUGUCAUGUGAUCGAAUUGUAAACUAGAGCUUGAGCCGUGUUACUCUUAUUUACCGUCCAGGUGAAGUGAUCUGCGAACCUCCCAACAACAAGCUGGACAAAUUCAGUGGAACCCUCUACUGGAAGGAAAGCAAGUUCCCCCUGAGCAACCAGAACAUGCUGUUGCGGGGCUGUGUGCUACGAAACACCGAGUGGUGCUUCGGGCUGGUCAUCUUUGCAGGUGAGCCUUCUAGCAUCCAAAGGAAGAAUGUGACUCAGCCCUCCCUCAGGAGUAUGGGUUGAAACUGGGUGGGUUGGCAGAGUGCAUAAGGUACAAAACCUCCAGCCCUGAAUACAAGUCUCUUGUCCACCUAGUGUCUCCAUUCCAUCCUGAUGUACUACCUCUGGAGAUCAGAGCAGAAAUUCAGAGACAGUUUUGUUAUUUGGCUUCCCAUUCUUUUCUAGGUCCUGACACUAAGCUGAUGCAGAACAGCGGUAGAACAAAGUUCAAGAGAACAAGUAUUGAUCGCCUAAUGAAUACACUGGUGCUCUGGGUAAAAUCCCACAUAUAUUUCCCUCUCUGCCCUUUUGGUUCUCCCUGGGUGGUUUCCUUGGCUUCCAUUGCUCUUCCCUGGUCAAUAGUCAGGCUUUGGAUUUGGUUUUAAAGUCACUGCAGGUUAGCUACUCAAAGGCAAUGUUUAUUUCAGGUUUCUUUUAGACCUGGAAGAUGUUUUUUUAAAAAACCUUAGGAACGUGCAUGAAUCAACAACUUAAAGCUAAAACAAUCGUCCCUUCUCUGGAUCCCAGUUAUGAUGAUGAUGACUUAGUGCAUCAUGUGACCUUCUGUUUACCUUUGCCAGAGACAAGGAGGCCUUCAUGAGGAUGGAGAGGGAAUUAAAAGAAAAAAUUUCCACUUGGAAGUUGGUUAGCAGGGUCUUUCCCCCCAAACUUAUAAGGAUGAAGAAUCCCAAAGGAAAAGUUUCUGUUUUCAUUUUUGGCAAUUCCUGAGUCCUUCUCUUGUUUAGCUAGAAAUCUGAGCUCCUUGUUAAACAUUGCUCCCUUCUUGCACCCUCCUGCCUGCUGCCUGCCCCCCACAUGCCAGCUUGCAAAGCCUGGGGCCACCCUGGUUUUAAAGGGCUUGCAAAAUUCCAGUUUGAGGGAGCUCCAGGGCAGAUUUUGCCUGUAGAGGCUCACAUGGCCCCCUGGUGGUCGUUGGGCACCAGGAUAGUUCCUGUUUUAUUUCAAACUCAAUGGUGAAGAUGGCUUUGGAAAUAACUGUCAGAGAGAAAAAAGAAAAAAGUAAAUAGAUAUCAGAAACCAGACAUGGAUUUUGGUUAUUUUUCCUCUCUCUCUCUCUCUCUCUCUUUUAUAUACGUUCAUUUUAUUUAUUUUUAUGUGGUGCUGAGGAUGGAACCCAAGGUCUUGCAUGUGCGAGGCGAGCGCUCUACUGCUGAGCCACAGCCCAGCCCUUGGUUAUUCUCUUAUAAUCACCAGACUUUCUUAUGAUCCUUCAUCAAGGACUCCAAGCUGUUUUGAUUAAUCAAGAAAUCUGGAGUUAUCAAGAUACAGUUUGUUUCCCUGGUUUGUUUUAUUUAUUAAUGGGCACUGGGGAUCAAACCAAGGGGUACUUUACCACUGAGCUACAUCCCAAGCCCUUUUUAUUUUUUAUUUUAAGAGUCUCGCUAAGUUUUUUGGAGCCUUGAUAAAUUGCAGAAGCUGGCCUCGAAUUUUUGAUCCUUCUGCCUCAGCCUCCCAAGUUGCUGGUAUUACAGGCAUGUGCCACUAUGCCCAGCUUCUGUUUCCCUGGUUUAAAAAAAAAAAAAAUGGGCUGGAGUUGUGGCUCAGCAGUAGAGCGCUCGCCUAGCACACAUGAGGUGCUGGGGUUCGGUCCUCAGCACCACAUAAAAAUGAAUAAAUAAAAUAAAGGUAUUGUGUCCACAUGCAACUAAAAAAAUAUUUAAAAAAAAAUAACAGUCUGUAUAAAAUAGACAUUAUAAGGGCUAGAGGGCUGGCUCAGUGAUAGAGCACUUGCCUAGCAUAUGCGAGGUUCUGGGUUCAAUCCUCAGCACUGCAAAAAAAAAAAUAAGUAAACAUAUAUACAGGCAUAUAUAUACUAUAUUUUAUAUAUAUAUACACCUACGUGUGUGUGUGUGUGUAUAUAUAUAUAUAUAUGUGUAUAUAUAUAUAUAUAUAUAUAUAUAUAUAUAUAUAUAUAUAUAUAUAUAUAAUAGUAACUUGGCAUUUUUGUUGGUUUGUGAAGGCUUAGCCCAGGUAAAUGGGUAAUUUGCACUAAGUGUUUUUGGUGUGUGAAAUGUAGUUCACCCCACUCACCAACCUUAAAGACUCCUGAUUGGGAGCAAUUUCUCUAUUUCAGCUUCCCCACUGUAUACAUGAGGAAAUGUUCAGAGAGGGCCAUGUGGUGGUCAGUGGCAGACCAGAGCCAGUUCUGAGCUCAUUCCAAUAGAUCAUUCUAAUAAUUCAAAUAUGCCUAUGAUUUUUAGGGCUCAGGCCUGAAUAGGAACUUCCUUCAUGGGGACAUUUGUUUUCUAAGUCUCUGAUUAGUUUCUGUUUCUCAUUCCUCAGAUUUUUGGAUUCCUGGUCUGCAUGGGGGUGAUCCUGGCCAUUGGCAAUGCCAUCUGGGAACAUGAAGUUGGGACACGCUUCCAGGUCUACCUGCCCUGGGAUGAAGCGGUGGACAGUGCCUUUUUCUCUGGCUUCCUCUCCUUCUGGUCCUACAUCAUCAUCCUUAACACCGUUGUGCCCAUUUCACUAUAUGUCAGGUAUGUUGUUCUCUGCUCUAGGUUCUGUCCAGGGAGCCCAGUGGUCCUUUGAUAAACUUUUCUGUAAAUAUCCAAUCAUUGAGAAGGAACAUGAAAUCCUUUUCUUCUGUACUGUGAGCAUUUUGUGUUGUCUUUUUAUCUUUGUGUACAAAGUAGACUUUUUACCAGUUUCCUGGCACUGGGAGUGUAUUAGAGCAAAACCCUUGAGCAUAUAUUUAGCAUAUGUGUAAUGCAUGCACUAUGUGCAAAGAAGCGAGGUAGGCACUGUAGCACAUAGAAAUUGGAAUGGAUCUCCUUUACUCUAGGAGCUUAGGUCCAAAAGAACAAGAAAAAUCUAAACACAUUAUAAAAAAAAAAUUGGGACUAAGUCCUGUAGAAGUCAUUCUAUCCUCAGCAUUACAUAACACUGAGAUGUGUCAGAUGGCCUGUGCCUUCAAAAGCAGUAGCCUGGCGGUGGGGAGUCGGAACCUGGUCAGACACUGAUACACCAUGCAGGAGGCAUCAGGUGCCCAAGGUGGGGACGAGCCCUGCUCCUCAGGCAGGAAAUUAGGGAAAACAUCUCAGAAGAGAUGAGUGAAGGUGGAAUUGGAAAAGAGAGGAGGAGAAAGGGCUAGGAACAAUGGCAAGGAAGUGGGCACUGGGAAUGGCCUUGGGACAGCAGAGAGUAGGGACGGUGAGUGAGGAGCUGUGGGAGAGAGACCCGGAAACAACGGCUCACUCCUGACUGUGAAGGGUCUUCAAUCUUGGCCUGUGGCCUUGGACUUCAUAAACCAUUAUAAGGUCUUUGGAAAAAUGAAUAAACAACAAAAAAAGAAGUCAUUUGAAAAAUAAAUUCUAAAAAAACCUAAAGCAGCUUUGGGCAGUGGAGUGCAGCAUGUGUCGGGUCAGGGGCCCAGGCAGGGUGCUUGGAUGCUUGAGGUAAAGAGAGUGUCACAGGGACAGGCCAGUAAGAGUGGAAGGAGGAGGGGGCUGGGAGAGGUGAAAGGAAGAAUCCAGGAGAAAGAAACUUUCCUACCGUGUACCUUGUAUUUGAGAUAAGGGGGCCUGUGACAUUUUAUAGGAAAUUCUUUGUGGAGGUAUUCAGAAUCUUCCUGUCUCCUGUGUUUAAUUGACAGUUUCCUCAAGUAGUCCUCAAUUCUCCUACUGGCCCAAAGUCCUAGGAUUGAUUAUGAUGAAUAGAAGAUGAAGCAUUUCUUUGCCAAGAAAGUACAGUUUGGGCUUUUUUCGAGCACAGAGAGGAGAGUCAGAAGGUUCUUGGUUUAGUCCUGCCUGCUCGACUAGAUUUGACAUAUGACCACAGUCACUUGAGGCUUUCUGGGACUUCUGGUUUCUCCUGUAAAAUGGGACCCCUGUUUCAUCUUCCUCACAGGGAUGUUUUGACGUAAGACACUAGUUUGGAAAACACAGGUUAUAGCUGGACACGGUGGUGCACGCCUAUAAUCUCAGUGACUGUGGAGUCUGAGGCAGAGGAAUUGCAAAUCCGAGGCCAGCCUGGGGACUUAGCAAGAUCCCGGGUUAAAACAAAAAAUAAAAAGGGGGGUUGCGGUUGUAGUUCAGUGGUAAGAGUGCUUGCCUUUUGUGUGUGAGGCACUGGGUUUGAUCCUCAGCAUCACAUAAAACAAACAAAUAAAUAAAAUAAAGGUAUGUGUCCAUCUACAAUUAAAAAAAAAAUUAAAAAAAUAAAAAGGGCUGAGGAAUGUAGUUCAUGGGUGUCCCUAGGUUUGAUCCCUAGUACCCUCCACCCAGAAAAAAAAAAUCACUAUACAAAUAUUGGAUGGUGUAUAUCUGUUAUCAUUGCAACUCUGGUUCUACAUUAUUAUUUAUUUAAAUGUUUUUUCCCUUAAAACCUAAUUUUGUUUUCUUUUCUUUGGGCUUUCUUGUCCCUGUUUUGUAUCUAAGUCUAUUUGAAGCCCUUGGGAGCUGCCUGAGGAAGUUUUCUAAGUCCCAUCAAGUUAUAGUAUGUCUUGGGGUGGGGUGGAGGAAGGGUUAUAAGCUGCAUGGGGAAAAGAUUAUGAUGAUAUUUCCAGCUACCUCAGUUUUUACCUGGUAAUAGGGUCCUGAUAGGAGCUUCUGUCAGGUCAGAAGCAAAGUUCCCGAUAAGCCCAUUGCUGCACCUCUGGACCUAAACACAGGGCCCUUUCUGGAAAUACUGUGAGCCCCUAUCCAAAGAAGACGAGGAGCUGCCUAAGCAAAGGAGAGGAUGGGGACUGUCAGAAGUCCCAUCCCCUGUAACUCGGCACUGUCCCCUACGUUAUUGCAACCCCUCUCCCUUCUGGAGUCAGCCCCUCAGCUUUGCCACAGAGUUGGGGUGUGGGGCCCAGGUGGAGGGAGAACGCUCCGUGUGCUGGGGCAGCAAGGAGCGAGUGGGCCGUGCUGCGUCUCGGUUUUCGUUCCCAGCCUGGCCCCUUGGAGGUGGCGCUCUCGCCUUGGCGCGCACAGCACCCUCAUUAUCUCUCUCUUUUCUCUCUCCCUUCCCUCUCGCACUUUCUCUUGUUUUUUUCUGCGUGGUUUCUGUAUUAUUAGCCCCGAGGUAAGAACUGGUUGAGUGCCUUGUCUGCAGUCCUUUCCUCCCUCCACCGUGCGCUCUGUCCUGCCUGCCCAGGCCUGUUGCACCUUCUUGUCUAGAGAGUGUCAGGAGGGGCGGGUUGGGGAGUACUUUGCUGGCUGUACCUGGCUGGCUCACCUGCAGGCUCUCCCUGCCCCUUCCCACCCAGGUUCCUGUGCCCAGGUGUCUUCUCCGUUCUCGUUUCUCCCCAGAUGGAGGGCCUGCAGCGAAGGCCCAUGUGGGUGGGGCACCUCUUCCCCUUCUCGCACCAAGCCUCACCUCCUGUCCUCUGUGUAGUGUGGAGGUCAUCCGUCUGGGUCACAGCUACUUCAUCAACUGGGACAAGAAGAUGUUCUGCAUGAAGAAGCGGACACCCGCUGAGGCCCGCACCACCACCCUCAAUGAGGAGCUAGGCCAGGUGGAGUACAUUUUCUCCGACAAGACUGGCACCCUCACCCAGAACAUCAUGGUUUUCAACAAGUGCUCCAUCAACGGCCGCAGCUACGGUAUGGCGGUGCCGCGAGGGUUGGGCUGCACAUCUCGCUUGGAAAGAGAAUGGAACCAGGGCUCUUAUAGUUGUCUGACAUUGGACUUUGCUUCUUUGCUAUUUGGGUCCGAGAGUCCUUGAGAGGGUCUGUUCUGUAUCCCGUGCCAGGAAGCAGAUCCUGAGUCUUUUCCUCGUCCUCACUUGGUACCCUUGCCUGGUCUCAGCUCCAGGCACUAGGGGAGCUCCUUGGAUGUUUAGAGUGAGGCCCAGACACUGCCCUCUGGUCAUCCUGGCCAGGUUGGACCUUGGCUGACCCAGUGGAAUUCUAGACUCACCCAUGUUGCUUGUCAUAAGGGCCCUGUGAGUCUCUGGAGUGUGCCCAUGGUCUUCCCAGUGUGGCCCUGUCCAGUGGCCUUGUGGCUGAACUGCUGGGGUGGCUGGGGCAGGGGGUGUGGGGGCUGGCCUUUGUACGGGGUCAGCCCCUGCUGUGACUGCUUCUGUACUAACCUAGACCUGUGCCUAGUGGGUGAGGCUUCGUCUGCUGUGCAGGCCUACAGGGUGCCCAGGAGCCCUGGCUGGUGCAGGUGAAGAAUUGGAACUGCCCUGAGGGGACAGCUGCUGGGAGGUAGUGGGGACAGGAAUGGUGAGCGGUGGAUCCCACGACACUCUUAUGGCCACAGUUCUGGAUUCUGGCACCCAGGACGCCUAUUGCCUACUGUCCCUUGUGUCAGUGGUGUGUGAGUGAUAUCUGCUCAAUGACCAGGCUGAGGGUUCCCAGUGCUUGCAGGGAUCUGUAUUAGAG
RNAcentral lists this long non-coding RNA (9380 nucleotides) under Marmota monax (woodchuck). Lineage: Eukaryota; Metazoa; Chordata; Mammalia; Rodentia; Sciuridae. The record is from RNAcentral.